GACAUGCAGAGAACUUUCCAGAGAUGGAUUGGUGCCUUCGGGAACUCUGACACAGGUGCUGCAUGGCUGUUGUCAGCUCGUGUCGUGAGAUGUUGGGUUAAGUCCGUAACGAGCGCAACCCUUGUCCUUAGUUACCAGCACGUUAUGGUGGGCACUCUAAGGAGACUGCCGGUGACAAACCGGAGGAAGGUGGGGAUGACGUCAAGUCAUCAUGGCCCUUACGGCCUGGGCUACACACGUGCUACAAUGGUCGGUACAAAGGGUUGCCAAGCCGCGAGGUGGAGCUAAUCCCAUAAAACCGAUCGUAGUCCGGAUCGCAGUCUGCAACUCGACUGCGUGAAGUCGGAAUCGCUAGUAAUCGUGGAUCAGAAUGUCACGGUGAAUACGUUCCCGGGCCUU
Molecule: ribosomal RNA, 399 nt
Filed under: uncultured Pseudomonas sp.
Lineage: Bacteria; Pseudomonadati; Pseudomonadota; Gammaproteobacteria; Pseudomonadales; Pseudomonadaceae
Description: bacterial SSU rRNA
Rfam family: Bacterial small subunit ribosomal RNA
Source: RNAcentral